GAUGAAUAGAGCCUGAACUCCAAAUAAAUAACAGUGGCUGACACAAGAGGUCUGCUUCAGUCUCCCCUUCUGACCUCAGCAGGAGCCCCCGCUGGCUCCACAGCAGACCAUUUCGUUUUUAUGCCGUGCCAAGCUAUGAGGUAUGUUGCAGGGCUCUGCUUGGCUGACUUUGGCAGGGUCCUCCUAAUGUAAGGCGGUGACCCAUGUUGCGCAGCCAAGCAGCAAGGCCCGAGUGUGUCUGGCCAGGCUGAAAAGUGCCCUUCAGGCCCAGUGCUGCCUCACUGCCGCUACUCCCCUCCACCACCGAGAGCCAUUCAGAGGGAAGAGAGGAGGAGGAGGAGGUGGAGGAGGAGGAAAAAAAGCUCCAGUGUGGAACUUAAGUAUGAAAGCAACCAUCAGCCUGGAUGUAUACAUGUGUGACACGCGUAAUAAGGAACGUAUGUAAAUGCUUAAGAGUACCACAGUGUUUUAUUGUGACCAGAGUUCAACGAAAUGUUGAUGACUGCUACCUGCGACUUCAUUUUCCCUGCUACGAAUUCAUUUUGACAUAAAGAUUUCACUUUGUAAACGAUGCCCAUCCGAACCAAGUCAUUGGUUAGAAAUACAGUGAAAUGACACAAACACAGUUCAUAUUGAAAAGAUUUAAAGCCCCUGAAAACUCAACAUUAAAGGUGCUUUGUGGAGUUUAAA
Siniperca chuatsi (mandarin fish) is the source of this 690-nucleotide long non-coding RNA. RefSeq lists it as uncharacterized. The record is from RefSeq and is a predicted model, not a curated record. NCBI's taxonomy places the organism in Eukaryota, Metazoa, Chordata, Actinopteri, Centrarchiformes, Sinipercidae. The transcript has 2 exons.